RNAcentral lists this ribosomal RNA (253 nucleotides) under uncultured bacterium. Its description in RNAcentral is "partial 16S ribosomal RNA". It matches the Rfam family "Bacterial small subunit ribosomal RNA", at positions 524 to 776 of the family's 1533-position model. The record is from RNAcentral.
UACGUAGGGCGCAAGCGUUGUCCGGAUUUACUGGGCGUAAAGAGCGCGUAGGCGGAAGGUGAAGCGUGGCCUGAAAGCCCCCGGCUCAACCGGGGAAGGCGGCUGCGAACUGGCCUUCUUGAGGGCGAUAGAGGGGGGCGGAAUUCCUGGUGUAGCGGUGAAAUGCGUAGAGAUCAGGAGGAACACCCGUGGCGAAGGCGGCCCCCUGGGUCGGCCCUGACGCUGAGGCGCGAAAGCGUGGGGAGCGAACGGG